GUUUGAUCCUGGCUCAGAGCGAACGCUGGCGGCAGGCCUAACACAUGCAAGUCGAACGGAUCCUUCGGGAUUAGUGGCGGACGGGUGAGUAACACGUGGGAACGUGCCUUUUGGUUCGGAACAACUCAGGGAAACUUGAGCUAAUACCGGAUAAGCCCUUCGGGGGAAAGAUUUAUCGCCAUUAGAGCGGCCCGCGUAGGAUUAGCUAGUUGGUGGGGUAAAGGCCCACCAAGGCUACGAUCCUUAGCUGGUCUGAGAGGAUGAUCAGCCACAUUGGGACUGAGACACGGCCCAAACUCCUACGGGAGGCAGCAGUGGGGAAUCUUGCGCAAUGGGCGAAAGCCUGACGCAGCCAUGCCGCGUGAAUGAUGAAGGUCUUAGGAUUGUAAAAUUCUUUCACCGGGGACGAUAAUGACGGUACCCGGAGAAGAAGCCCCGGCUAACUUCGUGCCAGCAGCCGCGGUAAUACGAAGGGGGCUAGCGUUGCUCGGAAUUACUGGGCGUAAAGGGAGCGUAGGCGGAUAGUUUAGUCAGAGGUGAAAGCCCAGGGCUCAACCUUGGAAUUGCCUUUGAUACUGGCUAUCUUGAGUACGGAAGAGGUAUGUGGAACUCCGAGUGUAGAGGUGAAAUUCGUAGAUAUUCGGAAGAACACCAGUGGCGAAGGCGACAUACUGGUCCGUUACUGACGCUGAGGCUCGAAAGCGUGGGGAGCAAACAGGAUUAGAUACCCUGGUAGUCCACGCUGUAAACGAUGAGUGCUAGUUGUCGGCAUGCAUGCAUGUCGGUGACGCAGCUAACGCAUUAAGCACUCCGCCUGGGGAGUACGGUCGCAAGAUUAAAACUCAAAGGAAUUGACG
This 857-nucleotide ribosomal RNA is filed under the name uncultured bacterium. Its description in RNAcentral is "bacterial SSU rRNA". It matches the Rfam family "Bacterial small subunit ribosomal RNA", at positions 11 to 915 of the family's 1533-position model. The record is from RNAcentral.